Molecule: long non-coding RNA, 356 nt
Filed under: Pan troglodytes (chimpanzee)
Lineage: Eukaryota; Metazoa; Chordata; Mammalia; Primates; Hominidae
Description: long non-coding RNA NONPTRT000140
Source: RNAcentral
CGCGGGGGUGGUACUGCUGCAUCCGGGUGUCUGGAGGCCGUGGUCGUUUUGUUUUCUUGGCUAAAAUCGGGGUAGUGAGGCGAGCCGGCGCGGCGCGACACCGGGCUCCGGAACCACUGCACGACGGGGCUGGACUGACCUGAAAAAAAUGUCUGGAUUUCUAGAGGGCUUGAGAUGCUCAGAAUGCAUUGACUGGGGGGAAAAGCGCAAUACUAUUGCUUCCAUUGCUGCUGGUGUACUAUUUUUUACAGGCUGGUGGAUUAUCAUAGAUGCAGCUGUUAUUUAUCCCACCAUGAAGGAUUUCAACCACUCAUACCAUGCCUGUGGUGUUAUAGCAACCAUAGCCUUCCUAAUGU